CAAUCAAAACAAAAAAAAGAAACAACAAUUAACCUUUAAUUAUCUUUGGAUCAGAUGAUCGAGAUAAUAUUCAUAAAUCUAUUGACAUAAAUAGUUAAUUUGAUUGGUAGUGAUCGAAAAUUUCCCUUAAUUGCAAACAAUUAAUGCGAAGAAUUAAUUCCAAGGAGUCGCCAUCUAGCGAGUGAAACAAAUUCAAUUUUCUUCAAAAUUCACUUCAAAUUAACUUUAAUUGUGAGCAAUUUAUUUUUAUUUUGGGUUUGAUUCUAAUAACUCUCUCUCUCUCUCUCUUUCAGGGUUACGACAUUGUCCAGUGUAAGCCUUGUCCAUUAGUUGGACGUUACCUGGUCAUUCAAAAACAAACCUCCAAAGAUGAUUAUCAACUAUCAGCUGAUUCCGUUCAAAUUUUUGGAUUUGAAACUUUAUUCACAUCAUGAUUAAGGAUUGUCACCAACAGGAUUUAAAGUUAAUCUUUAUCCUUGAGAUUAAAGUUGAGGGAAUAAAAAAAAAUACUAUCAAUAAAAUCAUCAUUUAUUUCUUGAUAAAUUGUUAAUUUAUGUUGACACAAUUUAGUUGAUUAAAAUGAGUUUAUUUUAGAUUGUUUAAUUUUAAUCAUUUAAAUAUUUGUUACAAUUAAAGUCACAAUUAGAUACAUUA
Long non-coding RNA from Panonychus citri (citrus red mite), 654 nucleotides. RefSeq lists it as uncharacterized. The record is from RefSeq and is a predicted model, not a curated record. NCBI's taxonomy places the organism in Eukaryota, Metazoa, Arthropoda, Arachnida, Trombidiformes, Tetranychidae. The transcript has 2 exons.